GUGGAUUAGAUACCCUGGUCGUCCACGCCGUAAACGAUGGAUACUAGCUGUUCGGUAGCAAUACUGAGUGGCUAAGCGAAAGUGAUAAGUAUCCCACCUGGGGAGUACGAACGCAAGUUUGAAACUCAAAGGAAUUGACGGGGGCCCGCACAAGCGGUGGAGCAUGUGGUUUAAUUCGAUGAUACGCGAGGAACCUUACCAAGGCUUAAAUGUAGAUUGACAGGACUGGAAACAGUUUUUUCUUCGGACAAUUUACAAGGUGCUGCACGGUCGUCGCCAGCU
This 282-nucleotide ribosomal RNA is filed under the name uncultured bacterium. RNAcentral's name for it is "partial 16S ribosomal RNA". It matches the Rfam family "Bacterial small subunit ribosomal RNA", at positions 773 to 1060 of the family's 1533-position model. The record is from RNAcentral.